Molecule: ribosomal RNA, 507 nt
Filed under: Triticum aestivum (bread wheat)
Lineage: Eukaryota; Viridiplantae; Streptophyta; Magnoliopsida; Poales; Poaceae
Description: partial small subunit ribosomal RNA
Source: RNAcentral
AUGGACAUCAACGCGGACUACGCAGUGGCGACGCUGCUCCGCUCCUGCCCGGCGAUGUCGGAGCUCCGGCUGAGGCUAAACAUGGCAUACGACUACGACUACGAUCGGCAGAUGCAGGCACCACCCGGGGGGCCCUUCGCCCAGUCCGUGGAGAGAUUCAAUAGGCUCGCGCCCAUGUGCUCCGAGCAUCGCGACGACGUGGAGUUCGGCGGGGUCUCGGAGCUUGCGGACGCCUUCACCGACGACUGCGAGUUCAGCUGCCUGACGACGAGCCUGCGGAAGGUGACGCUGCAGUUCAAGUCCAAGGAGCUCAACUGCUUCCAGGUGCCGCUGGCCAAGUUCCUGGUGGAGAACGCCAUGGUGCUCGAGGAGAUGCACAUCGAGGAUGGGAGCCAAUUCUGGCCGGACCACCUCUGCCACAAGGUCGCGAGAUGGAGAUCCGAUGCGCUCCGGAGGAGGGACCUGCCGGAUACGGCCGGCUUUCGCGUGUACCAGCUCGAUCGCUAA